The sequence is a transfer RNA, 87 nucleotides long. It matches the Rfam family "tRNA". Rfam says of the family: Transfer RNA (tRNA) molecules are approximately 80 nucleotides in length. Their secondary structure includes four short double-helical elements and three loops (D, anti-codon, and T loops). Further hydrogen bonds mediate the characteristic L-shaped molecular structure. tRNAs have two regions of fundamental functional importance: the anti-codon, which is responsible for specific mRNA codon recognition, and the 3' end, to which the tRNAs corresponding amino acid is attached (by aminoacyl-tRNA synthetases). tRNAs cope with the degeneracy of the genetic code in two manners: having more than one tRNA (with a specific anti-codon) for a particular amino acid; and 'wobble' base-pairing, i.e. permitting non-standard base-pairing at the 3rd anti-codon position.
UCUCUCGUGGCGCAAUUGGCUAGCGCGUUCGACUGUUAUUCUCGCAAUGCGAUCGAGAGGUUGGUGGUUCGAGCCCACCCGAGAGAG